CAUGUUUAAGAAAGGUGAUAACAAAAAAACAACCUAAAAUCCAAACUUUUCAAUAGACGUUUAACAGAUUCAUCCGAGUACUCGCGAGUACUCGAGUAUCAUGACCGAGUAUCCGAGUAUUAAAUUCCAGAUCUUUUGACAUCUAUAUUAUAUACAUAUGUACAUAUCAUGCAGCUGUCGAGUCCACCCUCCUCAGUGACCAUGAC
Molecule: long non-coding RNA, 206 nt
Filed under: Mytilus galloprovincialis (Mediterranean mussel)
Lineage: Eukaryota; Metazoa; Mollusca; Bivalvia; Mytilida; Mytilidae
Source: RNAcentral